UACGGAGGGGGCUAGCGUUAUUCGGAAUUACUGGGCGUAAAGCGCACGUAGGCGGAUUGGAAAGUCAGAGGUGAAAUCCCAGGGCUCAACCUUGGAACUGCCUUUGAAACUCCCAGUCUUGAGGUCGAGAGAGGUGAGUGGAAUUCCGAGUGUAGAGGUGAAAUUCGUAGAUAUUCGGAGGAACACCAGUGGCGAAGGCGGCUCACUGGCUCGAUACUGACGCUGAGGUGCGAAAGCGUGGGGAGCAAACAGG
Molecule: ribosomal RNA, 253 nt
Filed under: uncultured bacterium
Lineage: Bacteria
Description: partial 16S ribosomal RNA
Rfam family: Bacterial small subunit ribosomal RNA
Source: RNAcentral